RNAcentral lists this ribosomal RNA (697 nucleotides) under uncultured bacterium. RNAcentral describes it as "bacterial SSU rRNA". It matches the Rfam family "Bacterial small subunit ribosomal RNA", at positions 32 to 715 of the family's 1533-position model. The record is from RNAcentral.
AACGCUAGCUACAGGCUUAACACAUGCAAGUCGAGGGGAAGCGACAUCGAAAGCUUGCUUUUGAUGGGCGUCGACCGGCGCACGGGUGAGUAACGCGUAUCCAACCUGCCCGCCACUUGGGAAUAACCUUGCGAAAGUAAGACUAAUACCCAAUGAUAUCCAUAGAAGACAUCUGAAAUGGAUUAAAGAUUUAUCGGUGAUGGAUGGGGAUGCGUCUGAUUAGCUUGUUGGCGGGGUAACGGCCCACCAAGGCAACGAUCAGUAGGGGUUCUGAGAGGAAGGUCCCCCACAUUGGAACUGAGACACGGUCCAAACUCCUACGGGAGGCAGCAGUGAGGAAUAUUGGUCAAUGGGCGGAAGCCUGAACCAGCCAAGUAGCGUGAGGGAUGACUGCCCUAUGGGUUGUAAACCUCUUUUAUAAGGGAAUAAAAUACGGGACGUGUCCUGUUUUGCAUGUACCUUAUGAAUAAGGACCGGCUAAUUCCGUGCCAGCAGCCGCGGUAAUACGGAAGGUCCGGGCGUUAUCCGGAUUUAUUGGGUUUAAAGGGAGCGCAGGCGGUCUUAUAAGCGUGACGUGAAAUGCAGCGGCUCAACCGUAUGAUGUGCGUCGCGAACUGUGAGACUUGAGUGUAUUCGAUGUCAGCGGAAUUUGUGGUGUAGCGGUGAAAUGCUUAGAUAUCACGAAGAACUCCGAUUG